UAUUUUGUGGGAGCCAAAGAGUGCUU
RNAcentral lists this non-coding RNA (26 nucleotides) under Rattus norvegicus (Norway rat). The record is from RNAcentral. Lineage: Eukaryota; Metazoa; Chordata; Mammalia; Rodentia; Muridae.